RNAcentral lists this ribosomal RNA (466 nucleotides) under uncultured Rhodocyclaceae bacterium. Its description in RNAcentral is "bacterial SSU rRNA". It matches the Rfam family "Bacterial small subunit ribosomal RNA", at positions 902 to 1382 of the family's 1533-position model. The record is from RNAcentral. Lineage: Bacteria; Pseudomonadati; Pseudomonadota; Betaproteobacteria; Rhodocyclales; Rhodocyclaceae.
CAAAGGAAUUGACGGGGACCCGCACAAGCGGUGGAGCAUGUGGUUUAAUUCGAUGCAACGCGAAGAACCUUACCUGGUCUUGACAUCCCAGGAAUCCUGCAGAGAUGCGGGAGUGCCUUCGGGAACCUGGAGACAGGUGCUGCAUGGCUGUCGUCAGCUCGUGUCGUGAGAUGUUCGGUUAAGUCCGCUAACGAGCGCAACCCUCGCUGUAUGUUACAUGUGUCAUACAGGACCGCCGGUAUCAAGCCGGAGGAAGGUGGGGAUGACGUCAAGUCCGCAUGGCCUUUAUGUCCGGGGCUACACACACGCUACAAUGGUCGGUACAAUGGGUUGCUAAGCCGCGAGGUGGAGCCAAUCCCCAAAGCCGGCCUCAGUUCAGAUUGCAGGCUGCAACUCGCCUGCAUGAAGCUGGAGUUGCUAGUAAACGCGCGUCAGCUAUAGUGCGUUGAAUACGUUCUCGGGCCUU